This 1324-nucleotide long non-coding RNA is filed under the name Cicer arietinum (chickpea). RNAcentral's name for it is "long non-coding RNA (CARI_LNC000298)". The record is from RNAcentral. Lineage: Eukaryota; Viridiplantae; Streptophyta; Magnoliopsida; Fabales; Fabaceae.
ACAACAAGAGGAGCUUCGGCGACGAGGGGAAGAGAUCCAAGUACUUCACCUUCGAUUUGCUGAAUAUGGAGAAAAACAACAAGAGGAGCUUCGGCGACGAGAGGAAGAGAUCAAAGCACUUCACCUUCGAUUUGCUGAAUAUGGAGAUAAACAACAAGAGGCGCUUCUGCGACGAGAGGAAGAGAUCCAAGGACUUCACCUUCGAUUUGCUGAAUAUGGAGAUAAACAACAAGAGGCGCUUCUGCGACGAGAGGAAGAGAUCCAAGGACUUCACCUUCGAUUUGCUGAAUAUGGAGAUAAACAACAAGAGGCGCUUCUGCGACGAGAGGAAGAGAUCGAAGCGCUUCACCUUCGAUUUGCUGAAUAUGGACAUAUACAUCAAGAGGCGCUUCUGCGACGAGAGGAAGAGAUCGAAGCGCUUCACCUUCGAUUUGCUGAAUAUGGACAUAAACAUCAAGAGGCGCUUCUGCGACGAGAGGAAGAGAUCGAAGGACUUCACCUUCAAUUUGCUGAAUAUGGACAUAAACAAGAAGAGGAGCGUCGGCGACGAGAGGAAGAGAUCAAAGCAUUUCACCUUCAAUUUGCUGAAUAUGGACAUAAACAACAAGAGGCGCUUCUGCGACGAGAGGAAGAGAUCGAAGCGCUUCACCUUCGAUUUGCUGAAUAUGGACAUAAACAAGAAGAGGAGCGUCGGCGACGAGAGGAAGAGAUCAAAGCAUUUCACCUUCAAUUUGCUGAAUAUGGACAUAAACAACAAGAGGCGCUUCUGCGACGAGAGGAAGAGAUCGAAGGACUUCACCUUCGAUUUGCUGAAUAUGGACAUAAACAUCAAGAGGCGCUUCUGCGACGAGAGGAAGAGAUCCAAGGACUUCACCUUCGAUUUGCUGAAUAUGGACAUAAACAAGAAGAGGAGCGUCGGCGACGAGAGGAAGAGAUCAAAGCACUUCACCUUCAAUUUGCUGAAUAUGGACAUAAACAACAAGAGGCGCUUCUGCGACGAGAGGAAGAGAUCGAAGGACUUCACCUUCGAUUUGCUGAAUAUGGACAUAAACAUCAAGAGGCGCUUCUGCGACGAGAGGAAGAGAUCCAAGGACUUCACCUUCGAUUUGCUGAAUAUGGACAAAAACAAGAAGAGGAGCGUCGGCGACGAGAGGAAGAGAUCAAAGCACUUCACCUUCAAUUUGCUGAAUAUGGACAUAAACAACAAGAGGAGCAUCGGCGACGAGAGGAAGAGAUCCAAGGACUUCACCUUCAAUUUGCUGAAUAUGGACAUAAACAACAAGAGGAGCUUCGGCGACGAGAGGAAGAGAUCCAAGGACUUCAC